UUCGCAAUGCCCGAAAGGCUGACGGAGCGACGCCGCGUGCAGGAUGAAGGGCUUCGGCUUGUAAACUGCUUUUACAGGGGAAGAAUUUGUGACGGUACCUUGUGAAUAAGAGGUUGCUAACUCUGUGCCAGCAGCAGCGGUAAUACAGAGACCUCAAGCGUUAUCCGGAUUUACUGGGCGUAAAGCGUCCGCAGAUGGUCUAAUGGGUCAGGGGUUAAAACCUGGUGCUUAACAUCAGGCUCGCCUUUGAAACUAUUGGACUAGAGUGUGGGAGAGGUAAGCGGAAUUGCCGGUGUAGUCGUAAUAAGCGCUGAUAUCGGCAAGAACACCAAAUGCGAAGGCAGCUUACUGGAACACAACUGACACUAAGGGACGAAAGCGUGGGGAGCAAACAGGAUUAGAUACCCUGGUAGUCCACGCCCUAAACUAUGGGCACUAAGUAGAGGGGUUUU
Molecule: ribosomal RNA, 452 nt
Filed under: uncultured bacterium
Lineage: Bacteria
Description: bacterial SSU rRNA
Rfam family: Bacterial small subunit ribosomal RNA
Source: RNAcentral